AGCAGUGUGGCUUAGUGGCAAGAGCACGGGCCUGGGAAUCCGAGGACCUAGGUUCUAAUCCCGACUCUGCCG
This is a non-coding RNA of Ornithorhynchus anatinus (platypus), 72 nucleotides long. NCBI's taxonomy places the organism in Eukaryota, Metazoa, Chordata, Mammalia, Monotremata, Ornithorhynchidae. The record is from Rfam.